Acomys russatus (golden spiny mouse) is the source of this 105-nucleotide small nuclear RNA. Lineage: Eukaryota; Metazoa; Chordata; Mammalia; Rodentia; Muridae. The record is from RefSeq and is a predicted model, not a curated record.
GCUUGCUUCAGCGGUGUAUGUACUUAGGCUGGGACUCUACAGAGAAGAUUAGCAUGACACCUGCAUAAGGAAGACCCACAAGCCUGUGACCUGUUCCACCUUAAA